Molecule: ribosomal RNA, 2899 nt
Filed under: Klebsiella pneumoniae
Lineage: Bacteria; Pseudomonadati; Pseudomonadota; Gammaproteobacteria; Enterobacterales; Enterobacteriaceae
Description: bacterial LSU rRNA
Rfam family: Bacterial large subunit ribosomal RNA
Source: RNAcentral
UUAAGCGACUAAGCGUACACGGUGGAUGCCCUGGCAGUCAGAGGCGAUGAAGGACGUGCUAAUCUGCGAAAAGCGUCGGUAAGGUGAUAUGAACCGUUAUAACCGGCGAUGUCCGAAUGGGGAAACCCAGUGCAAUUCGUUGCACUAUCGUUAACUGAAUACAUAGGUUAACGAGGCGAACCGGGGGAACUGAAACAUCUAAGUACCCCGAGGAAAAGAAAUCAACCGAGAUUCCCCCAGUAGCGGCGAGCGAACGGGGAGCAGCCCAGAGUCUGAAUCAGCUUGUGUGUUAGUGGAACGGUCUGGAAAGUCCGACGGUACAGGGUGAUAGUCCCGUACACCAAAAUGCACAGGCUGUGAACUCGAAGAGUAGGGCGGGACACGUGGUAUCCUGUCUGAAUAUGGGGGGACCAUCCUCCAAGGCUAAAUACUCCUGACUGACCGAUAGUGAACCAGUACCGUGAGGGAAAGGCGAAAAGAACCCCGGCGAGGGGAGUGAAAAAGAACCUGAAACCGUGUACGUACAAGCAGUGGGAGCACCUUCGGGUGUGACUGCGUACCUUUUGUAUAAUGGGUCAGCGACUUAUAUUCUGUAGCAAGGUUAACCGGAUAGGGGAGCCGCAGGGAAACCGAGUCUUAACUGGGCGUUAAGUUGCAGGGUAUAGACCCGAAACCCGGUGAUCUAGCCAUGGGCAGGUUGAAGGUUGGGUAACACUAACUGGAGGACCGAACCGACUAAUGUUGAAAAAUUAGCGGAUGACUUGUGGCUGGGGGUGAAAGGCCAAUCAAACCGGGAGAUAGCUGGUUCUCCCCGAAAGCUAUUUAGGUAGCGCCUCGUGAACUCAUCUUCGGGGGUAGAGCACUGUUUCGGCUAGGGGGUCAUCCCGACUUACCAACCCGAUGCAAACUACGAAUACCGAAGAAUGUUAUCACGGGAGACACACGGCGGGUGCUAACGUCCGUCGUGAAGAGGGAAACAACCCAGACCGCCAGCUAAGGUCCCAAAGUCAUGGUUAAGUGGGAAACGAUGUGGGAAGGCACAGACAGCCAGGAUGUUGGCUUAGAAGCAGCCAUCAUUUAAAGAAAGCGUAAUAGCUCACUGGUCGAGUCGGCCUGCGCGGAAGAUGUAACGGGGCUAAACCAUGCACCGAAGCUGCGGCAGCGACACUAUGUGUUGUUGGGUAGGGGAGCGUUCUGUAAGCCUGCGAAGGUGACCUGUGAGGGUUGCUGGAGGUAUCAGAAGUGCGAAUGCUGACAUAAGUAACGAUAAAGCGGGUGAAAAGCCCGCUCGCCGGAAGACCAAGGGUUCCUGUCCAACGUUAAUCGGGGCAGGGUGAGUCGACCCCUAAGGCGAGGCCGAAAGGCGUAGUCGAUGGGAAACAGGUUAAUAUUCCUGUACUUGGUGUUACUGCGAAGGGGGGACGGAGAAGGCUAUGUUAGCCGGGCGACGGUUGUCCCGGUUUAAGCAUGUAGGCUGGUUGUCCAGGCAAAUCCGGAUAAUCAAGGCUGAGGUGUGAUGACGAGGCACUACGGUGCUGAAGUAACAAAUGCCCUGCUUCCAGGAAAAGCCUCUAAGCAUCAGGUAACAUUAAAUCGUACCCCAAACCGACACAGGUGGUCAGGUAGAGAAUACCAAGGCGCUUGAGAGAACUCGGGUGAAGGAACUAGGCAAAAUGGUGCCGUAACUUCGGGAGAAGGCACGCUGGUGUGUAGGUGAAGUCCCUGCGGAUGGAGCUGAGACCAGUCGAAGAUACCAGCUGGCUGCAACUGUUUAUUAAAAACACAGCACUGUGCAAACACGAAAGUGGACGUAUACGGUGUGACGCCUGCCCGGUGCCGGAAGGUUAAUUGAUGGGGUUAUCCGUAAGGAGAAGCUCUUGAUCGAAGCCCCGGUAAACGGCGGCCGUAACUAUAACGGUCCUAAGGUAGCGAAAUUCCUUGUCGGGUAAGUUCCGACCUGCACGAAUGGCGUAAUGAUGGCCAGGCUGUCUCCACCCGAGACUCAGUGAAAUUGAACUCGCUGUGAAGAUGCAGUGUACCCGCGGCAAGACGGAAAGACCCCGUGAACCUUUACUAUAGCUUGACACUGAACAUUGAGCCUUGAUGUGUAGGAUAGGUGGGAGGCUUUGAAGCGUGGACGCCAGUCUGCGUGGAGCCAACCUUGAAAUACCACCCUUUAAUGUUUGAUGUUCUAACGUUGGCCCCUGACCGGGGUUGCGGACAGUGUCUGGUGGGUAGUUUGACUGGGGCGGUCUCCUCCCAAAGCGUAACGGAGGAGCACGAAGGUUAGCUAAUCCUGGUCGGACAUCAGGAGGUUAGUGCAAUGGCAUAAGCUAGCUUGACUGCGAGCGUGACGGCGCGAGCAGGUGCGAAAGCAGGUCAUAGUGAUCCGGUGGUUCUGAAUGGAAGGGCCAUCGCUCAACGGAUAAAAGGUACUCCGGGGAUAACAGGCUGAUACCGCCCAAGAGUUCAUAUCGACGGCGGUGUUUGGCACCUCGAUGUCGGCUCAUCACAUCCUGGGGCUGAAGUAGGUCCCAAGGGUAUGGCUGUUCGCCAUUUAAAGUGGUACGCGAGCUGGGUUUAGAACGUCGUGAGACAGUUCGGUCCCUAUCUGCCGUGGGCGCUGGAGAAUUGAGGGGGGCUGCUCCUAGUACGAGAGGACCGGAGUGGACGCAUCACUGGUGUUCGGGUUGUCAUGCCAAUGGCACUGCCCGGUAGCUAAAUGCGGAAGAGAUAAGUGCUGAAAGCAUCUAAGCACGAAACUUGCCCCGAGAUGAGUUCUCCCUGAGACUUUAAGUCUCCUGAAGGAACGUUGAAGACGACGACGUUGAUAGGCCGGGUGUGUAAGCGCAGCGAUGCGUUGAGCUAACCGGUACUAAUGAACCGUGAGGCUUAACCU